RNAcentral lists this long non-coding RNA (2397 nucleotides) under Callithrix jacchus (white-tufted-ear marmoset). Its description in RNAcentral is "lncRNA (ENSCJAG00000076422.1)". The record is from RNAcentral. Lineage: Eukaryota; Metazoa; Chordata; Mammalia; Primates; Cebidae.
UAGCUAGCACCUGGCACUUUCUUCCACGGAUGUGUUUGAGCUAUGGGAGCCCACCUACAUUUACAGAAAAUGAAGAUGCCCAGAAGAUUACACCUUCUCCAGAAUGUAUCUUAACUGAAAUAAGACAAUCACCGAUUGUUUUAAGGGAGAAAUCUUUGCUGUUCAGUGAUGGCAAAAUGGAUGAAAACUCAGGUAGCCAAUGGCUCUCCCUGAGCCUGAAAGAAGAAUCUCUCUCACAGAGCCUUUUACAACGAGCUCAUUGGUACAGCAAUUGGCCAGAUUUUCUCAUACAAUCCAGUUGAAAACCCUCCUUAAAUUGUCCCACUGGAUUUAUACAGAUAUCCACUCAAGACCUCUAUCACUUAAUGAAACUUAGAAAAAAAUCCCCUAUGCUUCUAAUAACAAGUAAGGUCAUGCUUUAAGGUCAAGCAUGCUAUCCCAAGUAGAAUUUUAAAAAACAUUAAACCUGGUAGACAGACACUCAAAUCUGAAAAAUUGAUCUCAAGUUCUCUGGAAAAUGAUGUGCUUCUAGAAUAUUAUCCACACUCCAGUAUCUAGUUUCCUGCUUUGUGAGAAGGGUAAGGUACUGUCUGUAUGACCCUUAGGGACACUCUGAAGGCCAAAUAAAGCCAUACAUUUUUCUGAAUUAGUCAGAAUAUUAAAAUAAGUGACAGAGACAAUCAAGGCAUGAAGAUGAAGCAUGUAAGAUGAAGGAUCCAAUGUGACAUGUCACCAAGGAAUUCUCCAAGCAAGAACAAAGUGAUCCUGCGCUAUGCCCAUGGAUUGCAGGUGGUAUUGAGACGAAAGGGUAUGUGGAUGGUCUUUGCAAGAGGCAUGUGAGCAGAGGGGGCCCCUGCAGGGAUUCCCAUGGGCAUUCCCUGAGGACCUCACAACCAAGUAGGCUCCAGCAGCAUCCGCAGGUAGAAAGGUAGGGAUGCAAACAAGAGCAGGGGGCAGCCGGGCGGCAUCAGGUGAGGUUGCUGAAUGCUGUCACAAUGGUUCAGGCAUAUCCACAGAGACAAAAUGAACAAAAAAGCUUUCUGAACAGAUGACCAUGUUUCCUCCUCAACCUUGCCUGAGAAAGUGAACAUGAACCACAAAAGUAUCAGAGGUGAGAAGAACCUGAUUCUGGGAUUGCCUCUAAAACAAAAAGGAAAGAGAAUCCUGUGGCCAAACCUCAGAGACCUCUCACCAAAGAUGCAGUAGGAGAGGUAACUGAUGUCCCUCACCUAGAUUGUGUUCUUUUCUGUUUCUACACUCUCCAUUCCUGCUUCCUCAGGAGGAUGGAGGAGGUAGAGGUGAGUCCAGUACAUCUCUGCCUGUCCAUCUUGUCUCUCCACGCAGCUAAAGCAAGGAGAUUAAUGGUUUUGUUUCCUUCCACUCAGUUCUCUCUCCUAUUUUCUUCCUUCCACUAAACGGACAUUAAAGAUCACCGCUUGUGGCCAGGUGCAGUGGCUCAUGCAUGUAAUCUGCCUACUUUGGGAGGCCAAAGCAAGUGGAUCACUUGAGGUCAGGAGUUUGAGACCAGCCUGGACAAUAUGGUGAAACUCCAUCUCUACAAAAAAAUACAAAAAUUAGCCAAGUGUGGUGGUUCAUGCCUGUAAUCCCAGCUACUCUGGAGGCUGAGGUGAGAGAAUCACUUGAACCCGGGAGGUGGAGGCUGCAGUGAGCCACUAUUGUGCCACUAUACUCCAGCCUGGGUGACACAGCAAGACCAUGUCUCAAAAAAAACAAAAACAAAAACCAAAAAACACUUAAUGUUUCACGUUUAGUAACCAAGUGUAGAUUCUGCAUGUUUUCAGUUGUGAGUUUAGGUCUUCAUAUUCCCCAGAGUUCUAAAUAAUACUUAACGUCUCUUUCUCUGCCUCUCUGAGGCUGUGUCACACUUGGUAGCUCUGAAAGUAUCCAAAGCAAACAUGAGAUCAGCUGUAUCUCUCUCAAGACAUUUGAUGCAGGUUUGAGAGAGAGAAGGCAAUAGCACAGAGGCCAUUAACUUUCUUUUUCAAAAGCACCUUUCUCAUUAGAUGUGAAAAAUGUGUUUUAGAACAGCAGUUUAUGGCAGUUGACUAGAUAAAACUUCAGAAAGAUAGUACACACAACGAAAGGUGAGACAAAUUGCAGUGAUAAGGUAUGUCAGCAGAGGGCUGAUGCUGCAAGAAUAUAGUGUCUUUGUGUCUGUAGCCAUUCAUUAAGCAAGGUUAUGUCAGUGUGGUUGGCAUAGAGAAAUGAAGACUCCAAUAUACCCAGGAGCAGCUGAACAUAAUUAUUGGUACCUCUGUAUUUCUGCAUCCUAUGCUCAGACUACUCAUCGGCACUGUUAUGUUCAAUUGAAAAAUAAUAUGCCAGAAAAUUACUUUUAAAAUAAUUACUCUUAGUAAUUUAAUAAACAAUGUGUGA